RNAcentral lists this long non-coding RNA (248 nucleotides) under Mytilus galloprovincialis (Mediterranean mussel). The record is from RNAcentral. Lineage: Eukaryota; Metazoa; Mollusca; Bivalvia; Mytilida; Mytilidae.
GGAGCCAAUUGUUUUCUUUUCUAUCUUAUAAUUUUUCAUUAUUUUAUAUUUGUUGGUCUCAGUUUCUCUAUUCUAUGUUUUAGUCCAGUUAUUCACUAUUUUAUAGUUUUUUGGCCUAUCUUUUUAUAUUCUCUAUUUGUAGUAGCCGGUUUUUCAUCAUUUGAUAUUUUUUUUCUGGUCCAUGUUUCUAUAUUCUAUAUUGUUUGCACAUAUUUUGUUGUCCCAUUAUUCUCUUAUUUGUAAACCAC